This 1879-nucleotide long non-coding RNA is filed under the name Ixodes scapularis (black-legged tick). RNAcentral's name for it is "uncharacterized LOC121833927". Lineage: Eukaryota; Metazoa; Arthropoda; Arachnida; Ixodida; Ixodidae. The record is from RNAcentral.
CAAGUGUAUUUUAACAUAACUAAAUGUUUAAACUUUAGAUCUUUAUUUUAAACUUUACCAUUAUUUUAAGAAGUUUUUGCUAGGGUAAAUGUUUUCCAUAAGUUUUUUUUUUUCUUUUAUAUAUCGGAUAAAGGGAUUACAUUUGUUCUCUGAGUUUUUAUAGAAGCCCCAUCGCUAUCACCAUCACUAUUUUGAUUUUUCCAAGAUGGCCGUUUUUGUUUCGCGAACGUUCUGCGAGGAGAGUUCGGCGACUUGCGUGACUUACGAACAGAGCUGCCUAAUUGUGCCGCUUGUGCCUGGACAAUGGAAGAUGAUGCAAAGGCCAAAAGAAAGCUACUCUGCAUCUGCACUCUGAAUAAUGUGAUGUCUCGGUAGCUACACAUGCUUUGUUAAAGGGAAGUUUAUUUCGCCACUUGCUAGGCAUCAUUGAGGUGAUUUGGCUGUGUGCCUUUAUUUUAUGCUAAUAGAAUGUACUGCACUUACAACUGCUUGUUGUAGGUGCAGCCUACAACAAUCAGUUGCAAAGGAGCACCGUUUAGUGAAUCCAUUCGAUUAACAUAAGCAAGUCUGGAAGAUGCUAAAGACUAGAGCAUGAUGCACUGAGGCAUGUUGACCUAUGCUUGAGCACCCACUCUCCUCUCUUGGGCUGUAAACCAGGCAAAAUGUAAAAUUAUUCUUGCGAAAACAGCAGGGAUGUGGCAUGCAUAAAAACUUGUCGAUCAUGCUCUGAAUAUGCUGGCCGCCCAAGCGAGCGACUCACUGACUGACUGGCUCGGCUUUGCCAUCAGCCAAGGCAGGACAAGCAAAUGCUAGAGCAAGCAGUCAAGUUCGGUGAAUUUUGUUUUUCUAAAAACAAAUUUGCUAAAAGGAGAUUCGUUGCCAUUUCCUCUAAACGGAGUGUCUUCUUGAAAGAAUUCAAUAAAAAAGGGGGUUUCAAAACUUGUGCUUGGAAAAAUAGAUGCCUCUGCUCGGGCCGUACACAUCAACUUUCUUAGAUCUGUCGGUUGACAAGCUCCAUAAAAGAGCAGCAGUAAAAAAAAAAAAAAAAAAUUGAGACGUUUACAAUUCUUUGUAACAUGAAAUUAGAGCGCAACGCUUGAGUAGGAGGAGGGGAGGUUAUGCCUCUCCUAUCCCUCCAUACCCUCUCCUUCCCCUCCCAUUUAGCAGGCAAUUUUCGCUAAAUUUCCUGCUAAAUUUAGCAAGAAUUUCCCCGCUAAAUUUAGCGGUUUAAGUUUCCUCUCUAAAUCUUGUGGGGAAAUUGAUGUCACAGAACCUCAACACCAAUUCAGUUUCCCCGCUAUAUUUAGCGGGGAAACUGAAUUGGUGUUGAGGAAACAACCCUGCUAAAUGGCACAUGACUUCAUGCCACGUCACUCACAAACAAAUUCAGUUCCUCAGCUAGAUUUAGCAGAAAAAUUGACAUUGCGUGACCUCAACACAAAUUCAAUUUCUCACUAAAUUCAGCAAGGUGAUCAUGCAGACGGCGACGCAAUGAAGCGUGGAAAUGGGCACCUAAGAGCUGCACUCUAAACCAGUUUUUCUCUGUUGCCGGUGCACAAGCAGGUAAUGUGCAUCCAACGUUCCACUGGAUCUGUCCAAAGGGCAGGCUGAUACUGCGGCAGACGCCACUGAGCGGACACACUGCAAAAAGGCGUCGGGCGUUUUCCGAAGUUUGUCAACUGACCUAGAUCUGAGAACGUUGGUACAUGUAUUGCUACCGUUGCCAAGCAGGACUGGAGAUUGUUAGAGUGUGAACAAUGUUCACACUUUGGUCAAUGCAAGCACAUCUUUUUUUUUUUAGUAAUAUUGACUAACAAGAUUGCAGCAAUCAAACAAGUUAACACCGAAAUGUUAAAAGCAAUAAAGAAAUUAAAGCCCG